UUUUAUUUUAUUUUUUUUUUUUUUUUUGUCGUCGAUUGUAUUGAUUUCCAAAUUGGAAAAUUACAUGGUGAUCAGAGUCCAAUAAUACAAAACAUGCAAAGUUCAAAAUAGGCCCAAUAUAAAACAUUACAAAGCAAGAUAAGCUAGCCUCAUAAAAGACACGUAUUAAGACACGUGUUGUUUACUUGUUUUGCAAAUUGAAAGUGGAAGACGUCGAUUGACUCAUCCACAGAAGCUGAAGCGGUGGCUGAAUUUUUUGCCGACGAGAGUUAUCACCUAUUCCAGCUGCUUUCUCCGAUUCACCAUAACACCACCUUUUGCUAAAAUUUCCGAAGGUUUAGAAAAGAGAUUCAUGAUUCAUCUAAUUUAUGGAUCACCGGAAAACAUAGCUUGGCAAGAGAUCAAAUCAGUCGCAAAACACGCUCUCCUGAUAAGUUAUAUACCAAUCACUGAAUUCCACUCAUCAAGAUUCCCAGACAAAAAGAGAACCUGCAUCCAUAACCGAUUAUACGGUUUCAUAAGGGUAUGAGGGUUUAUCUCAUUUUGCAAGAGAAUCAAGCAAACGAUGAAUUUUGAAUCUCUGAACAAAACUCCGGCGUUUAUCUCCUCUAGAAUAGAAGAGAAUUUGCUGCUGCAAAAGGGGAGAAAACUAGUAAAAACAAACAACAAAAUAGCUAAAAUAGCUAAACAAAACACUCGCACUAAGACGAGAAGAUACAAAUCUGGACUUAGCCAGAAAAGAACCGAUUUUAAUCGGAAUAUCAAAAAGAUAACUAGCUUUCUCUCUCUAAAACAUACUAUUUUUAUUUAUCUUUGAAUAAUUAACUUCUAAACAAUACUUUGCCCAAAUCUAUUUAAUUCGCU
RNAcentral lists this long non-coding RNA (864 nucleotides) under Capsella rubella. RNAcentral describes it as "long non-coding RNA (CRUB_LNC002311)". Lineage: Eukaryota; Viridiplantae; Streptophyta; Magnoliopsida; Brassicales; Brassicaceae. The record is from RNAcentral.